Molecule: small nuclear RNA, 19 nt
Filed under: Arabidopsis thaliana (thale cress)
Lineage: Eukaryota; Viridiplantae; Streptophyta; Magnoliopsida; Brassicales; Brassicaceae
Description: snRNA_08227
Source: RNAcentral
UGCCACGAUCCACUGAGAU